CGUAAAGCACUGUCGCGAGGGAAGAUACCCUUCAUCUUAAUAAGGUGAGGAUAAGACGGUACCUCGAGAGGAAGCACCGGCUAACUCUGUGC
This 92-nucleotide ribosomal RNA is filed under the name uncultured bacterium. Its description in RNAcentral is "partial 16S ribosomal RNA". The record is from RNAcentral.